AACCAACAAGGACCUACUGAAUAGCACUGGGAAUUCAGUUCAACAUUCUAUAGUAACCUAAAUAUGAAAAGAAUUUGAAAAAGAAUAGAUAUGUGUAUGUUGUUGUUGUUUAGUUACUGAGUUGUGUCUCAUUCUUGGGACCUCAUGGACUGUAGCCCACCAGGCUCCUUUGUCCAUGGGAUUUCCCAGGCAAGAAUACUGGAGUGGGUUGCCAUUUCCUUUUCUAGGGGAUCUUCCCGACCCAGGGAUUAAACCUGCUUCUCCUGCAUUGGCAGGCAGUUCUUUACCACUGGGCCACCAGGGAAGCCCAGAUACAUGUAUAUGCAAAAUGGAAUCACUGCUGUAUACUUGAAAUGAACACAACAUUGUUAAUCAACUAUACUCCAAUAUAAAAUAAAAAUGUAAAUAAAGAAAAAUGGAAAUUUACAAGAAUUUACACUUGUGGAAACUGGCUUCUACCCUUCUGUACAGACUAGGAGACCAGGAUACUAUCUUCAAGUGUUGACUGGCAGUAAACUGUUUUUUUAGCCUUGAGUUUUUUCAGGCAGGAGCUGUAACAGGGGCUAGGUCAUCCCAGGGACACAGCCUUGAGUUGUUAGAAAUGAUGCUCAAGUUUGUUCAAGGCUCUUAGGUUGGGUGUUAGAUGGAAUCAUUUGUGCUGGGAGACUACAAGGUUGAAGACUAGUUAAGAAUAGGGCUCAGCAGAACCUGAGUUUGGUCAAGGAGUCUGUCAGAAUUUCAUAUGAAUAAGAGAAAAGUUAAUGCUCACGUAGUGUGGUAGUCAGAUUUGAAAUAUGAGUGCUAAUGAACAUCUUGCCCCCCUAAAUCCUAAUUGCUUUUCUUAAUAGAUAUGGAAAGCAAAACAGCCAAACACCGAGGUCAUAGAUAUAACUGCAGGCCACAGGAGCUGUUAGUCAAGCCCAGGAUGGUGUCAGAGUCAAACCACUGCAGACCUAGGCAAGUGGAAGCUUAGGGACCUUGUCUCCUGGAGGCAUCCUUCUGAACUUUCUCACCUUAGGACGGUGAUUAGGAUCAGGUCGUAGGGCUUAAAUCAAGCCAGACUGAUGCACUGUGCCUAGCAAUACAGACAUGGUUCUUGAAGAACUUCAAGAAGAGGAGGCAGGACUUGUUUUGAAAUAUGGACUGAGUUCAGGGGACCAGAGGAAUCAGAGGAUCUAGGAACACUUUGGUGAGUGGCAGAGGUGAGGGUUGGUUCUCUAUGGGUUCCAAAGGGAGUAGGAAAUAUAAAGCCAAGAACUGAGAAGGCUAUGGGGGUGGGUUGGGUUAAGAGAUUGUUAUCUAGAAACAAAAUGGUCAGCUCAGGGGACAGUGUUGAAGGAGAGGUCAAAAAUGCAUCCCUUAGGAGGAAAGGAGAGAGAGAGAGAGAGCCAGAGAGAAGCCUGUUACACACACGCACACCCCCACACUCUUCACACAUAAAGGUAUUUUUGUGUGUGUGUGUGUUAAAAAAAGUGAUGGGGUUGGAGAGACAUUGAUUUUGUAAACUUCUAUGUGGUUUAUUCUCUAUUUAUUUGGCCAAUAAACUGAGUCGCUCACAGGUAAAACCUAACUUCAUACCCCAGAUUUGGUUGGAACUAAGAAGUUCCUUUGUAUAUUGAAGUAAUUCAGGCUCAUGUUUAAAGAUUAAAAUUGAACAAACAAACAAAAAAACAAUACUUUAACCUCCCUCCCUUCUUCAUCCUUUCCCUUGUCAUCCCAGUCUUGUUGCCAGAAGGAGAACUCAGUGACUUUGGGGUUUGGUUUGCCUGUAGUUACUUCCUUAUGUGUAAAUUUUAUCACCAGUCCCUGUCUGUUGCCCCUCUGGUCAGAGGGCUCAUGAUUAAGUCAUUUAUACUACGCUCUACCUCCUCACCACUCUUCCCCCAUGACUGUUACAGGCUCAUUUUCUCCCAUAUAUAUAUGUACAUCUACAUUUUUGAACAAUCAUUUUUCAACUAAGGAAGUGAAAGAAGAUCUUCAGGAAUGAAGGAGAUCAGAGAAAUUAUUCUAUCAAAGGACAUUUAUGGAAAUAAAAUACUGGAGGGUAUUUCAAGCAAAAUGAACCCAAGGAAAGAUAAAGUAGAUGAGAUAUGUAACAUAAGGAAGAGUGGUGUGCAGCAAAAUUGCCAAAAGUAAUGAGUGUUAUUUUAACUGUGGCUAAUGUAGUGAUUUUUAAUGUAAUUUUUAGAAAAUAGUUCUUAACAUAGAAGAAGGACAAAAUGUAUUUAAAAACAUCUGAAACGAAACUUCCAGAUUAUUUCAAUUAACCUUGGGAGUUUGGAGGGGGAUGAGUAGAAAGAAAGGGAAGAGAAGUAAAAACAUGUUCAAUAUUUUGUCUCAUUGAGAAGUGACCAGCACUUCUAGACACACUGAGGAAAAAAAAAUACUCUCUUACAUUUUUAAGAGUAAUUACAAAUAGAAAUAGGUUACAGAACUUUAAAACCACUAGAGGGAGCACAAAGAAAGAAAAUUGUACAACCCGACUGUUAGGAAACAAAUAUGCAAGAAGAAAUUGUUUCAUGGGAACAUAAAAUAACAAGACAAGAGUAAAAAUCAAAGCAAAUCAGUAAGCACAAUAAAUGUGACAAAUUAAGUUCUCCUAUUAAAAUAAAGAGAUUUUGUCAUGUGGGAAAUAUUUUACCCAUUGUUUGUGUUCUAACUUUAUUUAUAGUAUCAUUCAUCUUCAGUUCAGUUCAGUUCAGUUGCUCAGUCGUGUCCGACUCUUUGCGACCCCAUGAAUCGCAGCACGCCAGGCCUCCCUGUCCAUCACCAGCUCCCGGAGUUCACCCAGACUCACGUCCAUCAAGUCAGUGAUGCCAUCCAGCCAUCUCAUCCUCUGUCAUCCCCUUCUCCUCCUGCCCCCAAUCCCUCCCAGCAGCAGAGUCUUUUCCAAUGAGUCAACUCUUCGCAUGAGGUGGCCAGAGUACUGGAGUUUUCAGCUUUAGCAUCAUUCCUUCCAAAGAAAUCCCAGGGCUGACCUCCUUCAGAAUGAACUGGUUGGACCUCCUUGCAGUCCAAGAGACUCUCAAGAGUCUUCUCCAACACCACAGUUCAAAAGCAUCAAUUCUUUGGUGCUCAGCCUUCUUCACAGUCCAACUCUCACAUCCAUACAUGACCACAGGAAAAACCAUAGCCUUGACUAGAUGAACCUUUGUUGGCAAAGUAAUGUCUCUGCUUUUGAACAUGCUAUCUAGGUUGGUCAUAACUUUCCUUCCAAGGAGUAAGCGUUUUUUAAUUUCAUGGCUGAAGUCACCAUCUGCAGUGAUUUUGGAGCCCCCCCAAAUAAAUCUGACACUGUUUCCACAGUUUCCCCAUCUAUUUCCCAUGAAGUGAUGGGACCGGAUGCCAUGAUCUUCAUUUUCUGAAUGUUGAGCUUUAAGCCAACUUUUUCACUCUUCUCUUUCACUUUCAUCAACAGUAGUGAAAUAAAGUAUAUAUGCUCCAAUCAAUAAUGAAUCCUUGGUUGCACAAGUGUUUCCAUAUGACCCUGAAAGGAUAUGUUGCCACAUUUUAUGCCUUAUUUAGAAAUUUUAAAUAUUUUAAAAAAUGGUUUCCAUCUAACAUAACAAACAGAUACUAUUUGUAUGUCCAAGGAGCCAGGAGAGAGUGUAGAUGACACAGUGGAAUCCACCUUAUGCCGGGGAAGGAAGCACUGGUUUGACGCCCAUGAGCGUGGAGCAUCCUUAAAUAACAGCCUAAUCACUUUUUUCUAUUAAAAUCUCUUCAUGUAACUCAAUCUCUGUCAAAUCCUAUUUAAAAAAGGAUUUGACAGGCUGCUUAAAAAAAAAACAUAAUCGAAGCACACUGGUCAAAGCGUGCCCUCUUUUCCCUUUAUGUGAACCCUUUAUGUGUUCUCAACAGGGCCCGCAUUAGCUGAUGGCUUCUUUACAACCAAUUCUUACUCUCCAUGAUUCUGCUCAUUAUAAGAGGAUAUUGGCUAAUUCUUUACUAGACAGGGAUUCCUUUAAGGCUGGAGUGUCCAAUGAGGAUGCCUUUGGGCCACACUCCUAAAGUCACUCCAGAAAUGCCUGUUGACCUUGGAGAAUUCAGGGUGGUUGAGUAGUGGAAGGGUGUGUGAGGCCCUUGUAGCCCUUUAUGUCCCCCAGGACCUAGCUUAAAAUGAAUGCCUGAGCUGGUAGUGUGUUUCUCCUUCUCUCUCAACACAAGUGUGCACGUCACCAUUUGUGUGACAAAAGCACAAUGGUAGGCGCCCUGCCAGCUGACAAGCACAGGACUUUCAAUCUAAGUUUCUUGGAAAACAACAAAAGAAGGUAUGUAAUAGGAGAGUUCAGGGAGCCAUGCUAUGGGCUGGGGGAAGGUUGCUGAGAAAUUAGCAAAUCUUUCUGCCUCUGAGCAGUGCAGAGC
This is a long non-coding RNA of Bos taurus (domestic cattle), 4365 nucleotides long. NCBI's taxonomy places the organism in Eukaryota, Metazoa, Chordata, Mammalia, Artiodactyla, Bovidae. The record is from Ensembl.